RNAcentral lists this long non-coding RNA (359 nucleotides) under Citrus sinensis (sweet orange). Its description in RNAcentral is "long non-coding RNA (CSIN_LNC005668)". Lineage: Eukaryota; Viridiplantae; Streptophyta; Magnoliopsida; Sapindales; Rutaceae. The record is from RNAcentral.
AAAAAAAUAUCCCUGAACCAAAACAAAAAUUAACUGAGUAUAUUAAGCAAAUAAAAAGAGAGAAAAAGAUAAUUACGUCGAGAUACUCUUUAGCAUCAAGGGGCUGAGCGAAUUCACAAUAAGAGACUAAACCCGAUAUGACCUCUCCGUCCAAAUCCAAACUCUCAAUUCGCUUGCACAGAUCCACCAACGCCUUCUCUAACCAUUCUCCCGCUGUCUCCAUUCUUUCUUGCUUUCUCGCUGUCUCUGUUAAUGAAAAGAGUAGAGCCCUCAUUUAUAUUUUUGGGUUUUGCAAAAAUAGCGCUUUUUUAGAAACCAUCGCUGCAAAUUAUUUUAUAAAAGUAUCCACUUAGUAUAAA